AUUGAACGCUGGCGGCAGGCCUAACACAUGCAAGUCGAACGAGUGGCGGACGGGUGAGUAAUGUCUGGGAAACUGCCUGAUGGAGGGGGAUAACUACUGGAAACGGUAGCUAAUACCGCAUACCAUCGGAUGUGCCCAGAUGGGAUUAGCUAGUAGGUGGGGUAAAGGCUCACCUAGGCGACGAUCCCUAGCUGGUCUGAGAGGAUGACCAGCCACACUGGAACUGAGGCACGGGCCAGACUCCUACGGGGGGCCGGCGUGGGGAAUAUUGCACAAAGGGCGCAAGCCUGAUGCCGCCAUGCCGGGUGUAUGAAGAAGGCCUUCGGGUUGUAAAGGACUUUCAGUGGGGAGGCGUUACCCGCAGGAGAAGCACCGGCUAACUCCGUGCCAACAGCCGCGGGAAUUC
RNAcentral lists this ribosomal RNA (406 nucleotides) under uncultured bacterium. RNAcentral describes it as "partial 16S ribosomal RNA". It matches the Rfam family "Bacterial small subunit ribosomal RNA", at positions 29 to 526 of the family's 1533-position model. The record is from RNAcentral.